Molecule: transfer RNA, 73 nt
Filed under: Felis catus (domestic cat)
Lineage: Eukaryota; Metazoa; Chordata; Mammalia; Carnivora; Felidae
Also listed under: 4 other names
Rfam family: tRNA
About the family: Transfer RNA (tRNA) molecules are approximately 80 nucleotides in length. Their secondary structure includes four short double-helical elements and three loops (D, anti-codon, and T loops). Further hydrogen bonds mediate the characteristic L-shaped molecular structure. tRNAs have two regions of fundamental functional importance: the anti-codon, which is responsible for specific mRNA codon recognition, and the 3' end, to which the tRNAs corresponding amino acid is attached (by aminoacyl-tRNA synthetases). tRNAs cope with the degeneracy of the genetic code in two manners: having more than one tRNA (with a specific anti-codon) for a particular amino acid; and 'wobble' base-pairing, i.e. permitting non-standard base-pairing at the 3rd anti-codon position.
Source: Rfam by way of RNAcentral
ACCUGUCUGGCUCAGUUGGUAGAGCAUGCAACCCUUAAUCUUGAGGUUGUGAGUCUGAGCCUCACGUUGGGUA